Molecule: ribosomal RNA, 1034 nt
Filed under: Calycina fungorum
Lineage: Eukaryota; Fungi; Ascomycota; Leotiomycetes; Helotiales
Description: SSU rRNA
Rfam family: Eukaryotic small subunit ribosomal RNA
Source: RNAcentral
UAUACCGUGAAACUGCGAAUGGCUCAUUAAAUCAGUUAUCGUUUAUUUGAUAGUACCUUACUACUUGGAUAACCGUGGUAAUUCUAGAGCUAAUACAUGCUAAAAACCUCGACUUCGGAAGGGGUGUAUUUAUUAGAUAAAAAACCAAUGCCCUUCGGGGCUUCUUGGUGAUUCAUAAUAACUUAACGAAUCGCAUGGCCUUGUGCCGGCGAUGGUUCAUUCAAAUUUCUGCCCUAUCAACUUUCGAUGUUAAUGUAUUGGAUUAACAUGGUUUCAACGGGUAACGGGGAAUUAGGGUUCUAUUCCGGAGAGGGAGCCUGAGAAACGGCUACCACAUCCAAGGAAGGCAGCAGGCGCGCAAAUUACCCAAUCCCGACACGGGGAGGUAGUGACAAUAAAUACUGAUACAGGGCUCUUUUGGGUCUUGUAAUUGGAAUGAGUACAAUUUAAAUCCCUUAACGAGGAACAAUUGGAGGGCAAGUCUGGUGCCAGCAGCCGCGGUAAUUCCAGCUCCAAUAGCGUAUAUUAAAGUUGUUGCAGUUAAAAAGCUCGUAGUUGAACCUUGGGCCUGGCUGGCCGGUCCGCCUCACCGCGUGCACUGGUCCGGCCGGGUCUUUCCUUCUGGGGAGCCGCAUGCCCUUCACUGGGUGUGUCGGGGAACCAGGACUUUUACUUUGAAAAAAUUAGAGUGUUCAAAGCAGGCCUAUGCUCGAAUACAUUAGCAUGGAAUAUAGAUAGGACGUGUGGUUCUAUUUUGUUGGUUUCUAGGACCGCCGUAAUGAUUAAUAGGGAUAGUCGGGGGCAUCAGUAUUCAAUUGUCAGAGGUGAAAUUCUUGGAUUUAUUGAAGACUAACUACUGCGAAAGCAUUUGCCAAGGAUGUUUUCAUUAAUCAGUGAACGAAAGUUAGGGGAUCGAAGACGAUCAGAUACCGUCGUAGUCUUAACCAUAAACUAUGCCGACUAGGGAUCGGGCGAUGUUAUCUUUUUGACUCGCUCGGCACCUUACGAGAAAUCAAAGUCUUUGGGUCUGGGGG